Molecule: transfer RNA, 65 nt
Filed under: Drepana pallida
Lineage: Eukaryota; Metazoa; Arthropoda; Insecta; Lepidoptera; Drepanidae
Description: tRNA-Gly
Source: RNAcentral
AUUUAUAUAGUAUAUUUAGUAUAUUUAACUUCCAAUUAAAUGGUUUAAUAAAAUUAAUAUAAAUA